AAAUCGCACGCAAUCGGAUCAAUCGACGGCAGCGACGCGAGGAACGAUUGUUCCCAAAGCACGGCUCGGGUUCGGGGCCGGGAAACGGCCCAAAAGCGGGCCCGAAGAUGCUGAAACCCACUCCGUGGGUCUUGCUGGUCGCGGCCGAACAGAGCAGCUCCGGCGGCUAGGGCGGCGGGGGAAGGCUGGCAGAGGGUGAGGGAGUCGCGGGGGAGGUCCGGCGAGGUUGGCGGUGGCCGGAGGUGGCCGGAGAUGGGCUGGUCGGAGCUGGAACAGAGACGAAACAGGGCUGGGCCGAGCUGGAUCGCGCGGCCUGGGCGCACGCGGACGGCGGCGAGCGCACGGGCGCGGGCGGCGGUGCGGCGGUGCGGCGAGCGGGACGAGCGGCAAGCGGCUGAGGGGCGAGCUACAGCUUCUGGUUCGCUCGGCGUGGAGAAAAGAAGGAGAAGAAGAAAGAAGAAAAGGGGGUUCGGUCGAGCGUGCAGAGGAAGAAAGAAGAGAGAGGAGAGAAAAGAGAGAGAUAAGGGUGUGGGGUUUUGACUAGUCAAAGAAGAGAGAAAGAAAGUGGGCGGUGGGGG
RNAcentral lists this long non-coding RNA (578 nucleotides) under Eucalyptus grandis. RNAcentral describes it as "long non-coding RNA (EGRA_LNC007640)". Lineage: Eukaryota; Viridiplantae; Streptophyta; Magnoliopsida; Myrtales; Myrtaceae. The record is from RNAcentral.